RNAcentral lists this ribosomal RNA (497 nucleotides) under uncultured bacterium. RNAcentral describes it as "partial 16S ribosomal RNA". It matches the Rfam family "Bacterial small subunit ribosomal RNA", at positions 28 to 507 of the family's 1533-position model. The record is from RNAcentral.
GAUGAACGCUGGCGGCGUGCCUAAUACAUGCAAGUCGAACGCACAGCGAAAGGUGCUUGCACCUUUCAAGUGAGUGGCGAACGGGUGAGUAACACGUGGACAACCUGCCUCAAGGCUGGGGAUAACAUUUGGAAACAGAUGCUAAUACCGAAUAAAACUUAGUGUCGCAUGACACAAAGUUAAAAGGCGCUUCGGCGUCACCUAGAGAUGGAUCCGCGGUGCAUUAGUUAGUUGGUGGGGUAAAGGCCUACCAAGACAAUGAUGCAUAGCCGAGUUGAGAGACUGAUCGGCCACAUUGGGACUGAGACACGGCCCACACUCCUACGGGAGGCUGCAGUAGGGAAUCUUCCACAAUGGGCGAAAGCCUGAUGGAGCAACGCCGCGUGUGUGAUGAAGGCUUUCGGGUCGUAAAGCACUGUUGUAUGGGAAGAACAGCUAGAAUAGGAAAUGAUUUUAGUUUGACGGUACCAUACCAGAAAGGGACGGCUAAAUACGUG